AGAGUUUGAUCCUGGCUCAGAUUGAACGCUGGCGGCAGGCCUAACACAUGCAAGUCGAGCGGUAACAGAAAGUAGCUUGCUACUUUGCUGACGAGCGGCGGACGGGUGAGUAAUGCUUGGGAACAUGCCUUGAGGUGGGGGACAACAGUUGGAAACGACUGCUAAUACCGCAUAAUGUCUACGGACCAAAGGGGGCUUCGGCUCUCGCCUUUAGAUUGGCCCAAGUGGGAUUAGCUAGUUGGUGAGGUAAUGGCUCACCAAGGCAACGAUCCCUAGCUGGUUUGAGAGGAUGAUCAGCCACACUGGAACUGAGACACGGUCCAGACUCCUACGGGAGGCAGCAGUGGGGAAUAUUGCACAAUGGGCGAAAGCCUGAUGCAGCCAUGCCGCGUGUGUGAAGAAGGCCUUCGGGUUGUAAAGCACUUUCAGUCAGGAGGAAAGGGUGUGAGUUAAUACCUCAUAUCUGUGACGUUACUGACAGAAGAAGCACCGGCUAACUCCGUGCCAGCAGCCGCGGUAAUAC
RNAcentral lists this ribosomal RNA (523 nucleotides) under Pseudoalteromonas marina. Its description in RNAcentral is "bacterial SSU rRNA". It matches the Rfam family "Bacterial small subunit ribosomal RNA", at positions 8 to 526 of the family's 1533-position model. The record is from RNAcentral. Lineage: Bacteria; Pseudomonadati; Pseudomonadota; Gammaproteobacteria; Alteromonadales; Pseudoalteromonadaceae.